AUUGAACGCUGGCGGCAGGCCUAACACAUGCAAGUCGAGCGGAUGAAGGUAGCUUGCUCCUUGAUUCAGCGGCGUACGUGUGAGUAAUGCCUAGGAAUCUGUCUGGCAUGGGUGGAUAACGUCCUGAAACGGGCGCUAAUACCGCAUACGUCCUGAGUGCGAAAUAGGAGGAUCUUCGGACCUGACGCUAUCAGAUGAGCAUAGGUCGGAUUAGCUAGAUGGUGGGGUAAAGGCCUACCAAGGCGACGAUCCGUAACUGGUCUGAGAGGAUGAUCAGUCACACUGGAACUGAGACACGGUCCACACUCCUACAGGAGGCAGCAGUGGGGAAUCUUGGACGAUGGGCGAAAGCGUGAUACAGCACAACCGCGUGUGUGAAGAAGGACUUCGGCUUGUAGAGCACUUUAAGUUGUGAGGAAGGGCAGUAAGUUAAGAACUUGAUGUUUUGACGUUACCAAAAGAAUAAGCACCGGCUAACUUCGUG
RNAcentral lists this ribosomal RNA (484 nucleotides) under uncultured bacterium. Its description in RNAcentral is "partial 16S ribosomal RNA". It matches the Rfam family "Bacterial small subunit ribosomal RNA", at positions 30 to 507 of the family's 1533-position model. The record is from RNAcentral.